GGGCUCUCUUUGGCAGCACAUACACUAAAAUUGGAAUGAUACAGAGAAGAUUAGCAUGGCCCCUGUGCAUGGAUAACACACAAAUUCAUGAAGUGUGCCAUUUUUCU
Molecule: small nuclear RNA, 107 nt
Organism: Nycticebus coucang (slow loris)
Lineage: Eukaryota; Metazoa; Chordata; Mammalia; Primates; Lorisidae
Source: RefSeq, a predicted model, not a curated record